UAGUAGCGGCGAGCGAAGCGGGAAGAGCUCAAAUUUAUAAUCUGGCACCUUCGGUGUCCGAGUUGUAAUCUCUAGAAGUGUUUUCCGCGUUGGACCGCACACAAGUCUGUUGGAAUACAGCGGCAUAGUGGUGAAACCCCCGUAUAUGGUGCGGACGCCCAGCGCUUUGUGAUACACUUUCAAUGAGUCGAGUUGUUUGGGAAUGCAGCUCAAAUUGGGUGGUAAAUUCCAUCUAAAGCUAAAUAUUGGCGAGAGACCGAUAGCGAACAAGUACCGUGAGGGAAAGAUGAAAAGCACUUUGGAAAGAGAGUUAACAGUACGUGAAAUUGUUGGAAGGGAAACGCUUGAAGUCAGACUUGCUUGCCGGAGCUUGCUUCGGUUUGCAGGCCAGCAUCAGUUUUCCGGGGUGGAUAAUGACGGUUUGAAGGUAGCAGUCUCGGCUGUGUUAUAGCUUUCCGUUGGAUACAUCCUGGGGGACUGAGGAACGCAGCGUGCUUUUUGCGAAAGACUCGUCUUUUUCACGCUUAGGAUGCUGGUGGAAUGGCUUUAAACGACCCGUCUUG
Molecule: ribosomal RNA, 563 nt
Filed under: Rhodotorula graminis
Lineage: Eukaryota; Fungi; Basidiomycota; Microbotryomycetes; Sporidiobolales; Sporidiobolaceae
Description: partial large subunit ribosomal RNA
Rfam family: Eukaryotic large subunit ribosomal RNA
Source: RNAcentral